Non-coding RNA from Canis lupus familiaris (dog), 84 nucleotides. The record is from Rfam. Lineage: Eukaryota; Metazoa; Chordata; Mammalia; Carnivora; Canidae.
GCCUGGGUGGCUCAGUGGUGGGGCGCCUGCCUUCGGCUCAGGUCAUGAUCCCGGGGGUCCUGGGAUCGAGUCCCACAUCGGGCU